GAUGAACGCUAGCGACAGGCCUAACACAUGCAAGUCGAGGGGUAACAUUAUUUUAGUUUACUAUAAUAGAUGACGACCGGCGCACGGGUGAGUAACACGUAUACAACCUGCCUUUAACAUUGGGAUAACCCGUUGAAAAGCGGACUAAUACCAAAUGAUAUAAUUUUAUCGCAUGAUAUUUUUAUUAAAGAUUUAUUGGUUUUAGAUGGGUAUGCGUAUGAUUAGUUUGUUGGUAAGGUAACGGCUUACCAAGACUUCGAUCAUUAGGGGUUCUGAGAGGAAGGUCCCCCACACUGGUACUGAGACACGGACCAGACUCCUACGGGAGGCAGCAGUGAGGAAUAUUGGUCAAUGGGCGAGAGCCUGAACCAGCCAAGUCGCGUGAAGGAUGACUGCCCUCUGGGUUGUAAACUUCUUUUGUAUAGGAAUAACGGACUCCACGUGUGGAGUUAUGCAUGUACUAUACGAAUAAGGAUCGGCUAACUCCGUGCCAGCAGCCGCGGUAAUACGGAGGAUCCAAGCGUUAUCCGGAUUUAUUGGGUUUAAAGGGUGCGUAGGUGGACUUAUAAGUCAGCGGUGAAAGUUUGUAGCUCAACUAUAAAAUUGCCGUUGAAACUGUAGGUCUUGAGUUCAAGUGAGGUUGGCGGAAUGUGUCAUGUAGCGGUGAAAUGCUUAGAUAUGACCCAGAACUCCGAUUGCGUAGGCAGCUGACUGGUAUGCGACUGACACUGAUGCACGAAAACGUGGGUAUCAAACAGG
RNAcentral lists this ribosomal RNA (759 nucleotides) under uncultured bacterium. RNAcentral's name for it is "bacterial SSU rRNA". It matches the Rfam family "Bacterial small subunit ribosomal RNA", at positions 28 to 776 of the family's 1533-position model. The record is from RNAcentral.